CCUACGGGUGGCAGCAGUGAGGAAUAUUGGUCAAUGGGCGCGAGCCUGAACCAGCCAAGUCGCGUGAGGGAAGACGGUCCUAUGGAUUGUAAACCUCUUUUGUCGGGGAGCAAAAGACGCCACGCGUGGCGUUCCGAGAGUACCCGAAGAAAAAGCAUCGGCUAACUCCGUGCCAGCAGCCGCGGUAAUACGGAGGAUGCGAGCGUUAUCCGGAUUUAUUGGGGUUAAAGGGUGGGUCGGCGGAAGAUCAAGUCAGCGGUAAAAUUGAGAGGCUCAACCUCUUCGAGCCGGUGAAACUGGGUUUGUUGAGUGGGGGAGAAGGAUGGGGAAAGGGUGGUGUAGCGGUGAAAUGCAUAGAUAUCACGCAGAACUCCGAUUGCGAAGGCAGCAUACCGGCGCUCAACUGACGCUCAUGCACGAAAGUGUGGGUAUCGAACAGGAUUAGAUACCCGGGUAGUC
RNAcentral lists this ribosomal RNA (459 nucleotides) under uncultured bacterium. RNAcentral's name for it is "partial 16S ribosomal RNA". It matches the Rfam family "Bacterial small subunit ribosomal RNA", at positions 338 to 795 of the family's 1533-position model. The record is from RNAcentral.